Molecule: ribosomal RNA, 472 nt
Filed under: uncultured bacterium
Lineage: Bacteria
Description: bacterial SSU rRNA
Rfam family: Bacterial small subunit ribosomal RNA
Source: RNAcentral
UGGGGAAUAUUGGACAAUGGGGGCAACCCUGAUCCAGCCAUGCCGCGUGUGUGAAGAAGGCCCUCGGGUUGUAAAGCACUUUCAGCGAGGAAGAACGCCUAGCGGUUAAUACCCAUUAGGAAAGACAUCACUCGCAGAAGAAGCACCGGCUAAUUCCGUGCCAGCAGCCGCGGUAAUACGGAGGGUGCAAGCGUUAAUCGGAAUUACUGGGCGUAAAGCGCGCGUAGGUGGCUUGAUAAGCCGGUUGUGAAAGCCCCGGGCUCAACCUGGGAACGGCAUCCGGAACUGUCAAGCUAGAGUGCAGGAGAGGAAGGUAGAAUUCCCGGUGUAGCGGUGAAAUGCGUAGAGAUCGGGAGGAAUACCAGUGGCGAAGGCGGCCUUCUGGACUGACACUGACACUGAGGUGCGAAAGCGUGGGUAGCAAACAGGAUUAGAUACCCCAGUAGUCCCUGAGCGGGCUGGCAAGGCGCAU